AGGCUCUUUCUAAAUCUCAGUACCAUCAGUACCAGCUGGUCUCUCUAAAGAGGCACCAGGCCAGCACCUGCUUCUGGAGUUUGGAGUUAAAUGAGCCAAUUCAAGGAGCAAAGGAGGUGAAGGAAACCAGCAAGAGUGUGGCCAGCAGGCCAAAAUGGAGUGGCUGGGAUGAGCUUGUCCCCUGCAUCGGCACCUGACCACGUCCGCCCGGCCUCUGAUGAGGUCAGCAAGUCAGCUGGAUUACCGGAGUGUUUCCAUCGAAUGUGUGAUUCGCCACGCUCAGCGGGGGGCUUGCUGCUCCCAACAGAACCAAACAGGGCGCUCCUUCCUGGCAAUGUCUCUCUUAACCCCCCCCAAAUAAGGGUAUUUUUAUACGGCUAUGAAAC
Molecule: long non-coding RNA, 386 nt
Organism: Paramormyrops kingsleyae
Lineage: Eukaryota; Metazoa; Chordata; Actinopteri; Osteoglossiformes; Mormyridae
Source: RefSeq, a predicted model, not a curated record